GUGAGGAGCAGAGAGUGUUAGCAA
Molecule: unclassified non-coding RNA, 24 nt
Filed under: Mus musculus (house mouse)
Lineage: Eukaryota; Metazoa; Chordata; Mammalia; Rodentia; Muridae
Description: oocyte_clustered_small_RNA10537
Source: RNAcentral